RNAcentral lists this long non-coding RNA (549 nucleotides) under Homo sapiens (human). RNAcentral describes it as "non-protein coding lnc-PDGFD-1:20". The record is from RNAcentral. Lineage: Eukaryota; Metazoa; Chordata; Mammalia; Primates; Hominidae.
GAACACAUAGUAAAUGCUGAAUUACUAUUUCCUAAAUUAUCAUAAAGCUGAGAAGAAUCAUGAUUCUCAAACUUCACCUUGGAAUUAAAAUGGAUUUCCUUGAGAAGCACAUAUGAGGUAAGCAGACCUCUCCUGUGAUGUUCUGGAUAUGCCUGUCUCAACAGAUUUCAGGGUGGCCGUCUUCUCUGCAAAUUCAGUUCUCUGAUGUGUCCAAGCUGAAGAAGCAAUUCAUCACUCCAUCAACUGGUUUUACUGAAUCGAAGCACAGAGAAUGUCCACAGUCACAGUGACUGUAGUGAUUUUCUAAAGCUGCAAUCUCAGUACAGUUUUACUUUGUUGUGUACAACCUUCAUUAUACUCAUUACUCCAUUCUGGAGAAUAUUUUAUAAUCACCACUUAAAGUUUUCAUUGGCAGGAUGUGUCUCUGUUCCUACUGCUCUUUUUUUUUUUAUCCAGUAAGAGGGAAAUGAUUAUCUCAUUUCUUGGGGGACAUAAUUGGUCUAUACCAAUAAUUUCACUUAAUGGUUUCACUACCUGGUAGAUUGUUGU